Molecule: long non-coding RNA, 984 nt
Organism: Tympanuchus pallidicinctus (lesser prairie-chicken)
Lineage: Eukaryota; Metazoa; Chordata; Aves; Galliformes; Phasianidae
Exons: 4
Source: RefSeq, a predicted model, not a curated record
ACUUAGUGAAAGCUGUUACCUCUCUGUAAGCACAUCAGCAGGCUUACUAAACAUAGGCACUGAGUGGAGAUUUAUCUGAUACCAACCAUCAGACACAAAAAAUAUUUCCUGCUAUAAAAUUCCUGAUCUAUCUUCACUGCCAGGUUAGUAGAGAGGCUGAAACAGGAAACUGAUGGAGUCCAUGAAGAUGUAAUGAAAGUGACAAGCAGCAGUAGAAGAAGGAGAAAUUCUAUCCCUGGAGAGGAAGUUAUUUCUACAUUUUACCAGAAUUUUUCUUUGUACUCAACCAGACUACCAAAGCCAUUCUGUACAAAAGCAUUUCUUUGGACAAAGAGCUGUGUAAAUCCAAUAUGAACUGUCCUAUCCUGUCUGCAGAGACCUUAAUGCCAAGAACAAGAAGAAUCACAAGUUUUGCAGCAUGCCACUGGACAAGAAAAAAGAAGUUGUAUGAGCUGCCAUCUGCAUAGUGUGGUGCAGUGAUAGGGGCUGACCUGCUGGCAUCCUGGUAGCCCUAGCUGUUACUUUGACUGACAGCAUCUGUGGACAACAUGGACCAUAAUCAUUCAAUGACAGGGAAGACAAGCAUGGAAAGCUGAGCUUGGUCUCAACCCUCAAUUCCUCAUCUCCAACACACGUUAGAGAUGACAUGUCCAGCAUGUCUACCUAUGUCAUCUCACUGUUCACUUCUGCACUGCUCACCAGCAAACCUAAAGCAUGGCUUAACCAAAGCACUGUUAGUGUCCUCUUUCCUUCAGGUUCUGGCUUGCUUUGGAUUUGGUCAAGGUGAUUUUAUGUGUGGACAAUUCUCUCCAUGGGGCUAGACAAGCAACAUUAUGUUCAUUUAAUUUUGGCCAUAACUCAGAUCUCUGGGCUGUUUUAUCUCUCUGAAAUGUUGAAACACCAUAAAUCUUUUCUCUAGAAGUCUCAAAGUUGUAUUUUUCAGUCUUUCCAAGACUGCUUAUACUGUCUGUUUCACUUAUUCUC